Molecule: small nucleolar RNA, 83 nt
Organism: Anoplopoma fimbria (sablefish)
Lineage: Eukaryota; Metazoa; Chordata; Actinopteri; Perciformes; Anoplopomatidae
Product: small nucleolar RNA SNORD53/SNORD92
Exons: 1
Source: RefSeq, a predicted model, not a curated record
GAGGAGUGAUGAUGCUGAGAAGAGGUUUCGCUCAAUGAGCUGAUGACCCGUGAUGUCACAUAUUCUCUUGGCUGUCUGACCAA